UAGGGAAUCUUCGGCAAUGGACGAAAGUCUGACCGAGCAACGCCGCGUGAGUGAAGAAGGUUUUCGGAUCGUAAAACUCUGUUGUUAGAGAAGAACAAGGACGUUAGUAACUGAACGUCCCCUGACGGUAUCUAACCAGAAAGCCACGGCUAAAUACGUGCCAGCAGCCGCGGUAAUACGUAGGUGGCAAGCGUUGUCCGGAUUUAUUGGGCGUAAAGCGAGCGCAGGCGGUUUCUUAAGUCUGAUGUGAAAGCCCCCGGCUCAACCGGGGAGGGUCAUUGGAAACUGGGAGACUUGAGUGCAGAAGAGGAGAGUGGAAUUCCAUGUGUAGCGGUGAAAUGCGUAGAUAUAUGGAGGAACACCAGUGGCGAAGGCGGCUCUCUGGUCUGUAACUGACGCUGAGGCUCGAAAGCGUGGGGAGCAAACAGG
RNAcentral lists this ribosomal RNA (429 nucleotides) under Chloroflexota bacterium. RNAcentral describes it as "Chloroflexi bacterium partial 16S ribosomal RNA". It matches the Rfam family "Bacterial small subunit ribosomal RNA", at positions 355 to 776 of the family's 1533-position model. Lineage: Bacteria; Bacillati; Chloroflexota. RNAcentral also lists the same sequence under 1 other name. The record is from RNAcentral.